UAACUUAUUUCCCAAAAUUUUCCCCCUCCCGUUUCCCUCUUUUCAUUUUCCCUCCCUUUUCCUAUUUUCUCUCACAUGCUGCCUCUCUUCCCUUAUCACACGCAACCUUCCGAUUUUUUUCACACUAAAAAGCCCCCUCUUAUUUUCUUCACGUCAGACGACCCUCCCAAAUUUCUUUUCUCGCCCCCCUCUUCUCAUCGAACGUGUCCCCCUUCCCUUCCGAUUUUCUUCUCACCGAAAAGCCCCCUUCACCUUUGAUUUUCUUCACGUGGAAUGGCCCCCACCGAAUUUCUUCACCACCGGAGUUCUUCUCGAUCUCCCUUCUUCUCACUGGACACGCCCCCUUCUGAUUUUCUUCUCACCGAAAAGCCGCCCCCCUCUGAUUUUCUUCCCUUUUUUCGUUCACUACUGAAUGUUAGAGGAUGAGAGUUUUUCUUUUUUGUUUUUUGAGUUCAAUGUAUUUGUUUUCUUUGAUUGAUUUCGUUGGUUUUUUAUUCAGGGUGGUGAGAGUUCAUCGAUGAUUUGGUUUCAUUCAAAGAAUUUGUUUUGAUUUGCAGAAUGGUAGGUGGAAUUUUCAGGUGAACAAUAUACACAUUUCUAUUCAAUAAUCUUCAAAAUAUUUGGUGUAUAAUUAUUUUGUUCUUUUUGUCUUGAACCCAGAUUCUCUACAACAAAUAGGUAAGCAAUAGUGUGCUCUUUGUUUAUUAGUGAUUUAGUGGAGCUUGAUAAAUGUGAAUGUUGUAAGAAGAUCAAAGGAAGUUCGUUUUUUGUCUCUCCCUUUACUCUUGUAAUGUUUUUCUUUGCAGAUGCGGGGAGGUGUUGAAGCACUUAACUCAGUUGAAUAGGUACUCUUAGACUGAUACAAGAAGUUUCUACUCACAGCUUGAAUUGGAUGAAGUAUCAGCGGAGUGGGCUGAAUUUUUAGCUUUGCACAUAUGAUAGACAUCCUUAGAUGUGAUCUUAUUAAUUUUGUGAAUGACUAAUAUAUGGGAAUGCCCAUAACUUUUUUUUUUUUUUUUUUUUUGUAAAUGUUUCGUUCAUAGCUAUUAUGCUUAUGUACAUGCAAUAGAUGUAAAGGGGAUAGAUUUUAUUUUUGGUAUACCACACAUGUUUUUGGUUAUAUAAGAUAAUUAUUUUGUUGAUUUUGGAAUAGGCCACAUAUAGGAAAUUUUAGUUGACUAUAUUGGAUUGGAAUUGUGUAAUUGUUGACGAUGUUGUUGAGAGUAAUAAAAUUAUUGUUGGUUUACUUAUACUAAA
Long non-coding RNA from Cucumis sativus (cucumber), 1257 nucleotides. RefSeq lists it as uncharacterized. NCBI's taxonomy places the organism in Eukaryota, Viridiplantae, Streptophyta, Magnoliopsida, Cucurbitales, Cucurbitaceae. The record is from RefSeq and is a predicted model, not a curated record. The transcript is spliced from 2 exons.